AUGCAAAGGGUUGGGGAGGAGCGUCGACAGCUCAGCGUCCUCCAGGCGCGGGCAAGGAGGAGCUCCGGCGGCGGGCAUCGCAGUAGGAGCUCGGGCCUCAGGUGCGGGAGGCGUGAACAUGAUCGAGGGGAGGCUCGGGCAAGGACGGGUCAACGCAGGCAGCUCCGACCGGGAUCCUCCGGAUCGAACAUAGCAGGGGAUGGAGGGACCCUGGGGCAGCUCGAUUUGGUCAGUGGCGGAGCCGAAGGCGCCGGGAACGAUGGCGACAGGAGCUGGGAGCGGGCGAGGGACUCCGGCGACGAGGCAAGGCGGUGGCCACAGGCUUGGACGCACGAGGCUAGAGAUGGCGGGGCAUGA
Molecule: ribosomal RNA, 357 nt
Filed under: Triticum aestivum (bread wheat)
Lineage: Eukaryota; Viridiplantae; Streptophyta; Magnoliopsida; Poales; Poaceae
Description: partial small subunit ribosomal RNA
Source: RNAcentral